AUUAAACUGGAAGUGUUCGGAGGAGAAGGCCAAGAGUGUUGGAUCAGCGCUGACGAGGUGGAAGAUGUGUGCGAGCUCCAUAAGAUUGGAAAUACUGUUAUGUCUCUUUGGUGCAGUUAUUUGCAAGAACACACACUUAAUCUUGGUGGGUUGAGGAAUACAUAUGCAUUUAAUAAUCCUGCUUCAGUAUCAACUGAAGCUGGUAAACUCAAACAACGUUCAGAGAAUCUAUGUCAGCGAAUGAUGGGUAUGCAACCUGAACAAUGGUUGAUAAGUCCGUGGAAUUCAGAUGAUCACUGGUUGACAAUUAUGAUUCAUGCCAAUACUCAAAGUGUUGCAUAUCUUGACUCGACGAAUGACUUUAUCCGAACUGAUAUUAUGAAAUGUAUUUAAAAUGCUGUGGACAUGUACAGGAUCGAAAAAAAUAUACGAAACAAGGGUCCAGUAAAAAUCAACCAAUACACGUGUCGACAGCAGCCGGAUGGAGUACAAUGUGGUUAUUAUGUUAUGAAGAUUAUUCAGAGUUUCAUGACGGUUGUUAAUCCUGCAAGUUUUUUGAAAAAUCAUUUCAAGUUAGACGCUCCCUAUAGUAACGAGGAGAUCAAUGCCGUACGAGAUGAGUUGGCCGAAUUUGUGAAGCCAUUGAUUAUAGAUUAAGUACUUAAGGUUACGACACUUUUGAUAUAAUACAUGAGUAACAAGUUUUAUGAUUAUUGUUAUCUUUUGCAUAUAUUAUUAGUUUAUAUUUAGUUUACGAUAUACAUGGAAUUUAAGUUUUAGAAUCGAUUUUAUUAACAAUUUUGGUAUUGUGUGAUUAGUUAAUAGAAUCGAUUACUAAUUUAAUAUAAGUUUUAAAAAUGUUAUUUUAA
This is a long non-coding RNA of Cannabis sativa, 869 nucleotides long. RefSeq lists it as uncharacterized. The transcript has 5 exons. The record is from RefSeq and is a predicted model, not a curated record. NCBI's taxonomy places the organism in Eukaryota, Viridiplantae, Streptophyta, Magnoliopsida, Rosales, Cannabaceae.